RNAcentral lists this ribosomal RNA (892 nucleotides) under Pestalotiopsis monochaeta. Its description in RNAcentral is "LSU rRNA". It matches the Rfam family "Eukaryotic large subunit ribosomal RNA", at positions 38 to 955 of the family's 3401-position model. The record is from RNAcentral. Lineage: Eukaryota; Fungi; Ascomycota; Sordariomycetes; Amphisphaeriales; Sporocadaceae.
GCAUAUCAAUAAGCGGAGGAAAAGAAACCAACAGGGAUUGCCUUAGUAACGGCGAGUGAAGCGGCAACAGCUCAAAUUUGAAAUCUGGCCCUCGGGUCCGAAUUGUAAUUUGUAGAGGAUGAUUUUGGUGCGGUAUCUUCCGAGUUCCUUGGAACAGGACGCCUUAGAGGGUGAGAGCCCCGUACGGUUGAAUGCCUAGCCUCUGUAAAUCUCCUUCGACGAGUCGAGUAGUUUGGGAAUGCUGCUCUAAAUGGGAGGUAAAUUUCUUCUAAAGCUAAAUAUUGGCCAGAGACCGAUAGCGCACAAGUAGAGUGAUCGAAAGAUGAAAAGCACUUUGAAAAGAGGGUUAAAUAGCACGUGAAAUUGUUGAAAGGGAAGGAUUUGUGACCAGACUUUUUCUGGGCGGAUCAUCCGGGGUUCUCUCCGGUGCACUUUGCCCAGUAAAGGCCAGCAUCGAUUUUCGGCGGCGGAUAAAAGCAGUGGGAAUGUGGCUCCCCACGGGGAGUGUUAUAGCCCAUUGUAUAAUACGCUGCUGGGGAUCGAGGUACGCGCUUCUGCAAGGAUGCUGGCGUAAUGGUUAUCAAUCACCCGUCUUGAAACACGGACCAAGGAGUCGAACAUUUAUGCGAGUGUUUGGGUGUUAAACCCUCACGCGUAAUGAAAGUGAACGGAGGUGAGAGCCCGUACGGGUGCAUCAUCGACCGAUCCUGAAGUUUUCGGAUGGAUUUGAGUAAGAGCAUAACUGUUCGGACCCGAAAGAUGGUGAACUAUGCGUGGAUAGGGUGAAGCCAGAGGAAACUCUGGUGGAGGCUCGCAGCGGUUCUGACGUGCAAAUCGAUCGUCAAAUCUGCGCAUGGGGGCGAAAGACUAAUCGAACCAUCUAGUAGCUGGU